This 497-nucleotide ribosomal RNA is filed under the name uncultured bacterium. RNAcentral describes it as "partial 16S ribosomal RNA". It matches the Rfam family "Bacterial small subunit ribosomal RNA", at positions 28 to 507 of the family's 1533-position model. The record is from RNAcentral.
GAUGAACGCUGGCGGCGUGCCUAAUACAUGCAAGUCGAGCGAACAGACGAGGAGCUUGCUCCUCUGACGUUAGCGGCGGACGGGUGGGUAACACGUGGAUAACCUACCUAUAAGACUGGGAUAACUUCGGGAAACCGGAGCUAAUACCGGAUAAUAUAUUGAACCGCAUGGUUCAAUAGUGAAAGACGGUUUUGCUGUCACUUAUAGAUGGAUCCGCGCCGCAUUAGCUAGUUGGUAAGGUAACGGCUUACCAAGGCAACGAUGCGUAGCCGACCUGAGAGCGUGAGCGGCCACACUGGAACAGAGACACGGUCCAGACUACUACGGGAGGAAGCAUGAGGGAAUCUUGCAGAAUGGUCUAAAGCCUGAAAGAGCCACUCCGCGUGAAAGAUGAAGGUCUUCGGACCUUAAAACUCUGUUAUUAGUGAAUAACAAAAGGGCAACUAACUAUGCGCGUCUAGACGCGGCCGAAGCAGAUAGCCGCGCCUCCCCACGUC